GAUGAACGCUAGCUACAGGCUUAACACAUGCAAGUCGAGGGGAAACGACAUCGAAAGCUUGCUUUUGAUGGGCGUCGACCGGCGCACGGGUGAGUAACGCGUAUCCAACCUGCCCACCACUUGGGGAUAACCUUGCGAAAGUAAGACUAAUACCCAAUGAUAUCUCUAGAAGACAUCUGAAAGAGAUUAAAGAUUUAUCGGUGACGGAUGGGGAUGCGUCUGAUUAGCUUGUUGGCGGGGUAACGGACCACCAAGGCUACGAUCAGUAGGGGUUCUGAGAGGAAGGUCCCCCACAUUGGAACUGAGACACGGUCCAAACUCCUACGGGAGGCAGCAGUGAGGAAUAUUGGUCAAUGGGCGAGAGCCUGAACCAGCCAAGUAGCGUGCAGGAUGACGGCCCUAUGGGUUGUAAACUGCUUUUAUAAGGGAAUAAAGUGAGUCUCGUGAGACUUUUUGCAUGUACCUUAUGAAUAAGGACCGGCUAAUUCCGUGCCAGCCGCCGCCGUAA
This 508-nucleotide ribosomal RNA is filed under the name uncultured bacterium. RNAcentral describes it as "partial 16S ribosomal RNA". It matches the Rfam family "Bacterial small subunit ribosomal RNA", at positions 28 to 523 of the family's 1533-position model. The record is from RNAcentral.